Molecule: small RNA, 2134 nt
Filed under: Rattus norvegicus (Norway rat)
Lineage: Eukaryota; Metazoa; Chordata; Mammalia; Rodentia; Muridae
Description: uncharacterized LOC108351183
Source: RNAcentral
GUGUGUCUGUGUGUCUAUGUGACAGUGCAGGUAAGUGCUUGCUAAACAUGAGUCUGGAGGUCAGAGGACAACCUCUCUGUUAGUCCUAAUCUUCUACCUUGUCUGAGGGUCUCUUGUUUGUCACUGCCUAUGCUGAGUUAAUUGGCCCACAACCUUCUGUGGAUUUUCUUGUCUCUACCUCCCAUCUCCCAGUAGGAACACUGGGUUUACAGAGCCUGCUACUGCGCCUGGGUUUCCAUGGGAUUUGAACUCUGCUGCUCCUUAGGCUUUUGUGUAUAACCCGGAACUUUUCACAGUGAUGUAGUGCCCCUGCCCUCCUCUUAAUGUUUUGUAAACUCUUUUUUCUUCAGUGAUUCUAUUUCAGGUUCUUUCUUCCCACCUGUGGUUUUGUGGUGGUCUCAUCACCAGACUCUUGUGUCUGCCCAGCUCUCUUCAUUGAUAUGAAAAGAUGUUGACUACUAAACACAUACAUGUGACAUUAAGGAGACCUUUUAAAGUUACCUGACAAUGAUUUGUUCUCCAUUUCAGCCUCUGGAGAAGUCUUCAUAGAUCCCACUUUGCUUAAGUCUGGUUUUCAAGUGCAAGCACAGGCUAAUUUCAAGGGUCUUUUAUUCUUCGAUUUGUUCUAGUUAGAUGGUUUUUGCUUUGUUUUCGGAUAGCCCUCAAGAGACCCUUACUACUCCUGUUCUGGCCUUAAUCUGCCAACAUAGAUGAAGAUGACCUUGAACCUCUGAAUGUUCUGUGUCUGCUUCCUGAGCACAGAAAGAAGAAUGUUUUCAUAGGGGAGCCUGGAAGAUCAAAUGAGACCAUACUUGCUGAAACAGAAGGCCCCUGAGAUUUUUGACUCACACCCAACUUUGAAAACCACUGGAAGAGAUGAGCUGGAUAACCCUGGAGAAUAUAAUCAGAAUCAAGGUAGAUAAAGUGUGGAUAGGCCAGUGGACUGGGGACGCUAUUCUAGAGGAAGAUCCUGCCGUGGGUGUGAGCUUUGGAAACUAAAAAUGACACAGUGGUAGAGUGCUCUCUGAGCACACACAAGGCUCUCGGUUAACACCCCACCCCUACCCCCAGAGCCUAAAGGAAAACAAAUGAAAAACUGAAGUGUCUCAAAAGUGGUCAGAGCAAAGGAAGAGCUGGUAGAAAUUAACAGCACAGCCAAAUACUGGGCCUUGUAACCCAGGGAAAGACUUGGGAGUUUGUAUUCAAGUCAAUUGGAAGCUGUUAAAGGGUUCUGAGCAAGGAAGAGCCUUUUCUGGUCAAUAACAUGCUAUUGUAAUUUUAAAACAUCCCCUUACAACCCAAUAGAGGCAGUUAAUUGUCCUAAUUAGAGCUUACACUCUAAUAAGGGGAGGAAAAGUCGGGAUAUAAGUGUCAGGCUGAUCCAUGAAUGCACAUUAAACACUCAUUAUGUAUUUGCCUCUCUGCUAGGCACAGAAAGGACAGGAGGAGGCAGGGCUCCUUCUUCUGAGGGGCAGGGAGAUAAGACAAGAGGAAGGUGUGAGUAGGACGCCCUGGGAGGGAAGGCAGACAUUUCCAUGUGUGCUCCUAGCAGGACAUGAUGAGGGAGGAAGCAGAGGCAGAGUUUAACAAGGAAAUGUUCUCUAUCCUAGGUGGGUCAGGAGAGCAGGCUUGCUCGGAACUGCAGUUCAUUCUGGAAAGUACUGGACAUACACUAGGAAGGCAGGUCCAGAUGAGUUUGUCCAGCAGAACCUCAGAGGAGGAGACGCCUAACCUGGACCUAUAAGCUUCAGACUAUUCUGACCUUAAAUGAAGCCACCUUGGAGAAUCUGGCAGAGGGCAUUGUUAGAAGGGUGCAAAUGGGGUACCGGUUGAUGCCAUUUUUCUGCAGUUCCUGGUGAUAAUUGUCCAAUGUCUUUCCUAGGCUCUGAGGCAUCUCUAGAGACUACUAUGAUGUUUUAAGUGCUUCAUUGAAUCACAACAAUCUUAGAAAGGAGUGCCCACAGCUUGAGUAAACUGAGUGUGCAAUAUAAGCACUCCCCCAAAUUCAUGCUUCUGUGUCACUCUGACUGUGACCAAUAAUCAGGAUGUCAAGUCCUUCCCACUUUGGUUCCCACCAUCUUGGCUUCUGAUACAGUUCUUUUUUGAAGUUUCUGGUUUGGUGUGUGUGUGUGUG